RNAcentral lists this ribosomal RNA (556 nucleotides) under uncultured bacterium. Its description in RNAcentral is "partial 16S ribosomal RNA". It matches the Rfam family "Bacterial small subunit ribosomal RNA", at positions 355 to 900 of the family's 1533-position model. The record is from RNAcentral.
UAGGGAAUCUUCCACAAUGGACGCAAGUCUGAUGGAGCAACGGCCGCGUGAGUGAAGAAGGUUUUCGGACCGUAAAGCUCUGUUGUUGGUGAAGAAGGAUAGAGGUAGUAACUGGCCUUUAUUUGACGGUAAUCAACCAGAAAGUCACGGCUAACUACGUGCCAGCAGCCGCGGUAAUACGUAGGUGGCAAGCGUUGUCCGGAUUUAUUGGGCGUAAAGCGAGCGCAGGCGGAAGAAUAAGUCUGAUGUGAAAGCCCUCGGCUUAACCGAGGAAUUGCAUCGGAAACUGUUUUUCUUGAGUGCAGAAGAGGAGAGUAGAACUCCAUGUGUAGCGGUGGAAUGCGUAGAUAUAUGGAAGAAUACCAGUGGCGAAGGCGGCUCUCUGGUCUGCAACUGACGCUGAGGCUCGAAAGCAUGGGUAGCGAACAGGAUUAGAUACCCUGGUAGUCCAUGCCGUAAACGAUGAGUGCUAAGUGUUGGGAGGCUUCCGCCUCUCAGUGCUGCAGCUAACGCAUUAAGCACUCCGCCUGGGGGAGUACGACCGCAAGGUUGAAAC